UUUUAUUAAUGAUGCUGAGGAGAUAACAACGAACUGAAAAGGGAAUUCAUUUUGAUAAUUUCCUUUCUUCUUUUGUUAAUUGCUUGCUGCAUCUCUUUCCCUUUAAUUUCUCUGCAUCUGUUGUUGGAACUUGCAACUCUCAGCUCUGCAACUCUGCUUUGGGAUUGUUCUUAAUACACACUAGCAAAAGAGAAGGCUGUGGGUUUGGGUGUUUGUGUGUCUGAGAGAAGGAAGCAAAAAGUGGUGUAGUUUCCCAAUAUUCUAAUAUGCAUGUAUGAUCAGUUCCCUUAUACAAACACUUAAGAAUAUUUUCAGCAUUUUUAGCAGCUUAUUUUAUAGAGCUUAUGGUAUCACCUUUUUUAUUCAAUCUCACUUUACUUUAUUUAAGUGGAUAAUCACACUUGGUGUUUGGGCAUUUGGGCAUUUGGGUCUGUAUACAAAUUUGGAAUUCCUUUAGUUUAGUUUAUUGUGAGUCUUUGUGAUGAUACCUCAGACCACAACCCCCCACAUUUUAUUUUUAAUAGGAUCAUCAUAAUGUGGGAUUAGCCUAAUAGUUAAUGAGCAGUCUCUUAAUAAAGCGUGGGAUUUUGAUUGGGUUUUUGUUUUGUCUUGGGUUUUAUUUUUUUAUUUCACUUUCCUUUUAAGGGAAGCAGAGUUCAUAAUGAAUAUUAAAUGAGAUGACGAAAGGACCACUGACCAUUGUGUCUCUUGUCCAUACCACCACCACCUCCUCAUCUGGGUUGUUUUGGGUUUGGUCAUUGGUGAAGUCAGUAAUCUUGUUUUAUGGGGGGGGGGCUGAGUCUUGUUUCCUCAGCCUCAAUGCCAACCACCCAAGCAUGGGUCUGUGGUUAGAGGAAAUGGGUAUAGCUGGAAGUGUGGGACCUUUAGCCAGCUUUUAGGUUUUUUUUAAAUCUGAAAAGAAGGCAUAUGAUUAGGGUUUUUUCUGAUUAAAAAAAUAAACCACCAAAGAUCUUCUGAAUUACUCAAAAAAAAUUGAAGGAAAAAAGAAAAGCAGAUUCUUGGGUCUUGGAGCUAUCAGAUAAGAUCUCUUUAGUCAAGUUAACCAUGGCCUUUAGUGCUGGAUAUUUGGGCAACAUCCAAUGUGAUUUGGUAUUAAAAAAACCAAAAAGAAUGAAAAAGAAAUUCAACCCAUUUAAAUUUAAGGUGUGAGGAACUAGGGUUUUUGUUUUUGGGGUUCCAAUAAUUUUGUAUAAUUCUUAGUUUUAGCUGUUAUCCACAGCUUCUUGCAUGUGCAAUAAUGCAGUACCAAACUGAAAGAGUAAUAAUGGAGAAUUGCAUAAUAAGGGAGUUGGGGUUUAGCGAAUGAAGUUUAAACUUGGUGCUUUGCAUUUGAGAGGCAGCUUUCUAUUACCUACCUCUGCGUGGUGUGUUGGAGCCUUGGUGCCCCCACCACCCCACAUAUGAUUAGAAAUCUGAACUUAGUGUGAGUAAUUGGUCACCAAAAACUGAAAGAUCUGCCACUUAUUCAUAAUUCUUUUACUGCAUUUUUGCCUGUCUCCCUCCCUCACUUCUCUCUUCCUUGUCAAGCUCUUGCUCCUUGGGUUCUCUGUCUCUACUAUGGCCCCCAUUUCAUAUUCUCGAUGAGCAGACCCAUAGGGGUACCAUCAUUCACUCUGGCUCCGCUCUUUGUACAUUAUACUAAUGUGGGUAGUGUGGGUGGUAUCAUCAGGAAAUUUUAUUCCGUAAAGACAUAAGAUUGAUCGUGGUAGCCCACCUAGUCUCAUUUUGCAGUGAUGAUCAGUAAAAUCCACUAUUUGUAGAUGCAAUAAGAGGCCACUGUUUAGGAUUCGGUUACUGUACAAAAAUAUGCUUGUUUUCAAUACUUAAUAAGAAGACAUCCCCUCUCACAUGGUGUCCUUAUCCAUUUUCAACUUCCAUUGUUUAUAUUUUUCUAUUUUAGUCUUGUUCGUCUGUAUCUUAUGAUCUAGAUUUCACUAUAAAUAUUUAAUGGUUCUGAUCUUUUGUUACAUAGGUACUGUUAUGGCACCUUAGCAUUUUCAUAAUGUUUAUGAGCUUAUCUUUCCAACAAUAAUGCCAAUUGGGAGCCACACAUUGACUUUCCAAUAUGCUUCUUUUUUCCCCUCAGGAGGCAUAAAUGAUAAAUGUUCUUUAUUUUACAUAAUAUUAUAAAAUGAUUAUGUGGUACCAUUCUGGCCUCUGGUACAAAAAAUGGAAAAUUUUCUUCAAUUUUGUACAAAUUAUCUGUAUUCAUUUUGGUUGGAGAGGGUUCGACCCUGGUUGGAUUUUGUGGAAUCUUAUGAUAUUAUGAAGCAUUCCCUAUCCAUAUAUAUUGGGAAAAGGAUUAAAUUCUUCUAAACCUAAUUGUCCACUAAAGACUAUGGUGCUGCUCUUUGGUCACACAUGCAUGAAGCUCAUAGAAACAGCUAUCACAAUGAUACUUUUAAGAUAAUGAAUGAGACACUACUACAAGAGUACUACUAUGCAUUAAUGUUAAUAAAGCUAUUUUACCUAACAUAUAUAAUCGACAGAUAUCCUUAAUUUUGGUAAUUAUUCACACAUCCAGAGCUAUAGAAGUUAGGUUCCCAAUAGGAAUAGCACUGAAGCAGUACUGCUCUUUAACUGGUUUUAGUAAUGGGAAAAAUGAACCAAGGCCCAUGACCAUUUCCAAGGGACUGAACCUUUUUUUUAUCAUGUUCCAUGUGGUGAAAUUCAAGAAGAGUGAUACUCCUCUCUGGAAACCCAAUUUCUUCAUAUGGGCAAAACCCUAAAAAGAGGAAGGUGAAUACCAGACACUGCACAUGUUCCACACAUGCGGUUUCUUUUCAAACGUGAUGAAAUGCAUUGAUCAAUUGUAUUAAAAUCGAGUUAUUAUAAAUGGUAUUAAAACCGAUCUUUGAUUUCGUGGGAAUUUGCUUGAUUUUAUGAGGAAUAUUUAUCUGUUUGAUUCGACAAACACGUUUUGGCGUUACAUAUGCUGUGUGAACUAGGGAGAUGCUGGCUGUUAUUUUUCGUCCUUAGAUUUUGGUGUUCGGAUGCUGAAAGAAACAGAAAGAGAAAGUGGGAAGUGGAGGGUUGCUUUUUUUAAUAUAGGGGGGCUGAGUUGAAGUUACUGAGUAGCUUAGCUGGAAAAAGUGGGAUCUAAGUUUACAGGCCAGAGGUUUAACCUCUGGCAUGUGCAUGGUUGAUUGACCACCAUCUUUAAGAAAAAGGUGAAAGGAGUCAUGCAGACAUAAAUUGGGAGCAACACUAAUUGCAAGCCUACGGAGGACCACACGCCUUUACUUACGACACGAAAAUGAGUCAUUAGUGCACUUGUGAACGAUGUGGUCCUGAAUAUGGCGUUUUCUCGAUUUAUGCCGAUGGAUGACUCCCAUGUUUGUGUUUUUUGCAUCGGCCUUUUUCUAAGCAAACCCGAAACCGUGUGCUUAAUUACUAUAGAUUAGGAUGCUUAUAGAAUGUUUUUAGUUGAGAUGUCCAAUAUUGCUUUUUCUAAAUUUUUUUUUUUUUGAAAAAUGUUGUUUAAAUUUUCUGCGAAUAUUUGAUUUUUCUUCAAUAACAAUUUUUAUGUUAGAAGUGAUAGGUGCCCCUAUGAGGGGGCAAGUUGCAAGGGCUCUAUACACUCAUGUGCAAUAGGAGGCAUGGACUCGUUCUUUGUGGGAACUAUUAAAGGAGAAACAACCCACUUGUCUAUCUCAACUAAGGAACCAGGCUGGGUACGGCCUAUUAGCCUUGUCUCACACGUUGGCUUCUUCCACCAAUGGAUUAGGUCAAGAUUUUGCUGCUCAAGGUCUCUACUUUUGGGGCAAGGGACAGUUUCAUUUGAAUUAGGGGGGACUGACCCUAUUUAUUUUAGGAUGUACAUUUAUAACAUGUGUCAAUAAUUUUAUAACAUGGGCAUGUACAUUGAUGUGAGUUGGCUUGUUCAGAGGCUUUGAAUGGGCCUCAUCCCUUUCUAUCUUAACAUUCUCACUUUCUUUCUGGCCCCUUGUGCAUGCCCAUGGACUUUGCCUUCUAGUUGUCUACGAGCCCAUUCAACAAUUGGAUUUCUUGCCCAAGUUUGGGUGUAUUUUCAAAAAAAUAUAUACAUUGUAUUUAUUGUAAGCCAUGCUUAAGAGAGUUUUGUGACGGUCAAAUACAACCUUUUAAAAGGAUAUUUAAUAGAACUUUCAAAUGCAGAUAUCACAUUUCUCAACAUGGUUUAUGGGUUUUAGAAAAGUAGACAAAUCUAACUAAUUAUAAUUUUAUUUUAUUUUUAAAGAAAUUAACUAGAAAAUUAUUUUUUAAUAUUAUCUUUUCUUUCUUUAGUACUUUCUAAUAGGGAUGGCAACGGGGCGGGUUUUUUCGGGUACCCGCCCCUAAUGGGACGGGGUUGAAAUUUAAUAAAUGGGUUUUUAGCGGGUAUGAGAUAUUUUUUUUAAACCCGGGACGGGUUCGGGGCGGGUUCGGGUAUUGCCCCAUCCCGCCCCGCCCCGCCCCGUUUACAUAUAAAAUCAAUUUUAAAAUUUAAUUUAAUUUAAAUUUUAAAAUUAAUUUUAUUUAAAAUUUUAUUUUACUAUUUUUAAUAUAUAGAUAAUAAUAAAAAAAUUAAUAAAAUAAGUUAUAAAAAAUAUAAUAAUUUUAUUAUUUAUAAAUAUAUUUAUUUUAAUGUAAUUAAAAAUUAAAUUUUUUUUUUUUUAAAAAAAAGAGGCUAAACGGGGUGGGUUUGGGAAAUUCCCAAACCCGCCCCGCCCUGCCCCGCCCCGUUUAAUUUUUUAAACGGGACGGGGAUGGGAAUUAUUUUUAAUAAACGGGGCGGGGUUGGGAUGGGGGCGACCCGUUCCGAACCCGCCCCGUUGCCAUUCCUACUUUCUAAUAACCAAAUAUAACAUGGAAAUUCUUAUAUAUGAAACCGUUUCAUUUAUAACUAAUCUUCUUCAAGUACUAGGCUAAUUUAAGUUAUUUUGUAAACCAUGGUUGGGGGAGUUUUUUAGACUUUAAAAUAAGCAUUUGAAACUCAAAUAUAAUUUUUUUUAAGGACAUUAAUAGAACUUUCAAAUACGGGUAUGACAUUUCUGCUGACAUCUUAAAUUUAAGUAAUGAAAGCAAUUUUUAGAGUUAAAGUAUUAACUUUUAUGUUUGGACGCUCUGAAACCUUAAAUUCCAAGUAUUGAAAACGAUCUUGAAAUUGUUGGAAGUCUUGUAAACCCACGAUUUUUUACGCAAUUUUCGCUCGAUGACUUAACCUCAUUUUUAGCAUACUUCCAAUGGAGAGGAAAGAUGAGUAGAAGUUAUAAUUCUCUUUCUGGAUGGUCGAAGACAAAAAGUGAUAUAAAUCUUGGGGUAUAGGUUCAUAACUAGGCUUAAGUGACUUGAGUCCACAUGAGGUUUGGGUCAUUUAAUUUAGCCUAAAUUAAGUUUUAAUUAAUUAAUUACUUAACCUAACAUGGUCCACUCAUUAAUCAAUUAGCUAAAUUCAAAGACUUUGUUCACUUAUUCUUGUGCAACCUUAUAUAAUUACUAAAACGCCUUUAUACACAAAAGUGAAUUUAGAGUCAAUCUGAACUUUAUAACUCAUACCAACAAGGUAUAUGAGCUUAGAGCGAGGACUAUUGAGACUCAUAGGAGUACUAACUCCCUCAAAAUUCAAUUCUAAAAUUGAUUCAACAUCCAACUACAAAGAAUCAAUUGAACUCCAGUAUCUUAUAUAAAUAACAAUAAGGCAUUAUGUGCUUAGGUUUGUGGUUUACUAUUUGUUGAGUUUAAUCUUUCCAUGAAUUGGUGUAUUUGAAAACCAACUUUACUAUCCUUGAGUUAUAAACUCUCUUUUUGUAUAUUCAACUAACAUGUCUUAGUUUCAAAAAACCUAUGUCAAGUUUCUCUUAAAAAACCAUUAUGACUAUAGUUUCUAUGAACACACCUCAUUUGAAUCACUCAAGGGGACACUCUAUCUCAAUCCCAUGAGCUAUCAUGGUACCUCUAUUGAGAACACAUACUGCUAUCGGUUUCCAACAACACUGACCUAAUCUAUAAAGAAUAUAUGAUCAAUUUAUGAACUUAUUAACAGGUCAAAGCUAUUGGUAACUUUAGCAUAAACUCAAUAUUAUUUCAAAGUUAAGAGACAACAUAAUGAAACAACUUAGUGAGGUUAUGACUACUUGAUAAUGUUAAGUCAUGACUCACCAUAGGUUUUGUUUAAUGUGCAAUAAAUACGCAUUAGUGUACUCAUCAUGGGAAACCAAUUCUAAUAGCCAAAACUAGCCAUCUCUCCAAUUGAGAGGUGGUACACUACAACCUCUAAUGGGUUACCUAAGCCUACGAAUUGACUAUGAACAAGUUAUCUAUUUAUAAUAAAAUCUGUGACUUGAAUCUUUUGUGUAAUUCUUAAUACACCCAAGUUACGCACAAUGCAAAAGAUGCAUACAAGAAUGCUUAUAAAGUGUAAUACAUGAAACAAUGAUAGAUAAAAGUGAAUAUGAAAUAUUAUUAAAUAAUGAAUUUCAAAUUUUGUUACAUCAUGUCAUAUUUUUAAGAACUCCAUCCUAACAAUUUUUUAAUGAGUUUUAUGUGUAUUGAAAAAGUAAUUCAAGAGACUUAAAUGUGGGAGGAUUUGUAAGAAAAUAUUGUAUUUGAUUAAUUUCUUUAAAAAUAUCAAUUUUAUCCUUGGUUUUUUUAAUUUUUUUAAUUUUUUUUUUUGUUAAAGAAAGUUUUCAAACAUAAAAAUCAAAGCUAUUGCAAAUAAACCUCUUUAUAUAUGUAUUGGGUAAGGUCCUUGAUACCCAAAAAUGACAAAAUUAUAUCUUAGGAACAAACUCGGAUAAAUUCCCAUCCAAAUUUUUACCAAUUUUGAGAGAAAAAAAAAGUAUCCCAAAAGUACCCUUAAUUUCAUCACAACUUUGAACAAAGUAUGCUUGAUAAUAUGCUCUUUAUUUGAUGAUGAAAAGUGAAAAUUACAUAAAUACCUAAAUUUCAAGAUGAUGGAAUCACCAGAUAUGACUACUCUAAAAAUGCUAGGAAACGAUUCAUUAAUAAAUAACCUCUUCUUUAGAUGUUCUUUUCUUCUUCUCUUAAUGAUGUUUUUGUUAUCUUCCUUAGUGUGUCCUCCAAUAAGAUUACUCGAGUCCAUUUGCACAUGAUCAUAUAUACAAUUCUCUCCAUUGAACGUGUACCUAGCUACUUGUUCAUCUCACCCUCUUUGAGGUGUUGGCGAGAGUUAUUGGUCUUGAUGAGGAGAUACUAAGCUUUCCAUACCCAAAAGAAUGAAAAAGAAGAAGGUGGAAAACUCUGAAAAGAUGAGGAUCAAAGCUACCUUAAAAAUAUCUUGUUAGGUAUAUAUAUUGCUGAAUUCGAAAGCCCUUAUAUCCCAAGAUGAGUUAUUAGUUACCACUUGUGCAUGCAGUGUUAUAUCUCAACAUUACUGGCCUAACAAUUCGACUAUUAUCUCACCAAUUCAGUAAGUAUUCAUACCCCAGAAACAUGCAAGGACUACUUUUGAUAUUGUGGAUUUGACAUCUGCCUGACGCAAAGGUUUGCUCUCUCCAUGCUCGGAGCCAGAAUCGAGCACUUAAUUGCUUACACACCUCACAUGGCAAAUAUCUUACCAUAGGAUGAUGAACCUGAAAUUCUUGAAGCAAAGGAGAAAAGAAAAGAGAGUUGGUGAGGAGUUUGAGUAUCAGAUUGGUAAGAUCUUCAUCAGAUGUGUUUGCAGACCAAAAGAGCUUCUUGUCACUGCUGAAUGAUACUUUGCAUGGUUAAGUUUGGCCAAACACAUCAGUUUGAUGUUCCUAUUUUACUUUUGCAUUACCAACAAAAAAAAUAUUUUUAGGUUUAUAACGUUUGAGGCUUUUUCCUUUUNNNNNNNNNNNNNNNNNNNNNNNNNNNNNNNNNNNNNNNNNNNNNNNNNNNNNNNNNNNNNNNNNNNNNNNNNNNNNNNNNNNNNNNNNNNNNNNNNNNNUUUUUUCCUUUUUAGCAAAGGAAAGAGGAUUAGGAAUCAAGUAACAUCAAUUAAACUAGAUGAAAAAAAAGGCUUUGAUACUUCAUUAUGACUUUUCUAACUCUAGACCUCUCUUUUAGUCCUUCCUUUUUUUGGUCGCUUAAUUAAUUAUCAAUUAUAUUGACCAACCAAAAGAGAGAAGAAAUCAAUCCUUAUGAGAUCAGUGGGUUUGUUAACUUAAGCUUUAAUCAACUUUUAAGGACAAGGUUAAAGAACUAUUGUCCAUUAUAACAACCAACAUGAUUAGAUAUGUGGGCCUCUAGCCUUGAUAAAUGCAAACGGAUUUUUCCAUACAGAUUAGACUGCAUUAUCUAGGAUUUAUGCAGUGGAUUUUUGUCAAAGUGCCAAGGAUCAGCACUUACCUAUAAGUUGAUGCUAUACAAUCCGUCAAAGUUCAUUGAUUAACAUUGCUAGAGACACUUUUCUCUGUUCAUAUGAAAAAUAAUUCCCAAUUUUCAUUAUUUCAAGAUCCCCCCAUCAGUCGAUAUGAGCCACAGGAAAAGCAUAUCUUGAUAAAAUUAUGUCCUAUGCUAACUUAAUUAUUAGGUUUAGCUCAAGUGGAACUAGGAAUGGAAUAAACCUAGGUAGCGCAAAAAUGAACAGUAUAGGCUCAUUGAUUGAUCAAACAAAGUAGUAAUCAAACAAAUGAAGGUUCUAAUCCUUUAGGGUUUUCGGUGUUUGCUAGGCAGAUACUAUUAUAUCACUUCGUUGAAAUGGUGCAACUUCUUAUACUUGCAGAUGGUAAAGUUUUUUUUUAUCUGGGGUUGUCCAUUUAGAUUCCUUCUCUCCCUGGCUUACGUUUCUUUCCACUUUGAAGUAAAAACUCAAUCUCUAAAGAUGGUGUAUAUAAAGCCUCAUGGCUCAUGACUCUUAUCAAUAUCCUACUCUAUAUGCUAGCAAACCAUAGUAAUAACGUGGCAUAAAAGAGCCUUGUCUCUUCAAAAACACAACUGUACACUUUAUUUCCUCCAAUCAUGAAAGAAGAACAAUAGAAGACAAGUUCAAUCAAGUCCAUCAGAAACAAUCCCAACAAUCUCAAACUGAAAACCCAACAAAGGAAAAACGAUAUUAGACAAUUCUUUACAAGAACCACAUAUGUAAAUAUGUGUUUGUUAUUAAAAUCCUAUCUCCCGUUUGAGGGAGCGGAAGAGCACGGGCACAAGACCUCGGUUUCCACUUCCCGCCUGUGGAAGUUCCUGUGGCAGCCGCAGGCUGCGCAGAUGAGUUCACUGCUGGUUCCCUCUUGGCCGCUCGCCAUGAACUCCCUACACCCAUCAACAGCAUGCCCUCCAAUGCCUGCAGCGUGAUUCUUCUGGCACUCUCCAUACCUCACACUCCUCACUGUCAAAGAUGAAUUAGUUGAUCUUCUUGACGGCUCAUUUCUCCUCAGCACAACUUGCCGGUGCCUCAUUCUACAAAAUCCCAAUUCUUCUCUACCUUCUUCUUCUCCAAACCCUCCAAGAAAACAGCUGUAGUUCUUCAAUUAUUUCACAGGCCCAGAAUCAGAAGCUGGCAUAGAAGAGAAGGACAGAGAGAUCGAGGGAUAUGGGGGAAGUGGGAAACUCGUUCCGAGUUUGUUCUUGCAUACCCUAACCCUAGAAUGCGUAUUUAUAGCCUGUAACCCUCUUAUUAGGGAGUUAAUCUUUAUUGCAAAUAAGAAAAGCCCCAUUACUAACUUUUACUUUAUUCUUAUUCUUAUUGUAAUUUACCGAUGUCAUUUUCUGUAAUUUACUCUCCAAAAACCCUAGAGUGGUCGAUGUGAAUUGAUCGUCCAACUGCCCUACAUCUCAUUGUCACGAAUAAAAACGAUUCCCACGUAACCACGGCAAAACCAAAAAUGAUGAGAAAACCUUUCGCUUGGCCCAUUACAGUGACUAGAUUCUAACAGAAUGACCAGCUAAGCACCCUUUUUUAAUUUAAAGCUCCAUGCCCCUAAAUAGUAAUGCCAUGCUCUUACAUUUUUCUUUCUGUUUUUCUCUUUAUAAUAUAAAGUUGUCAGGGCGGAAAUUCCUUCGUUCAUGGAAAAUACCCAUAGUGAAGGGAUAUUGUAUUAUUAUUAUUAUUUUUGCAAUAAUCUCCACUACAAGGAAAAAGAUAUAUGGUGACAUUUAUAAUAAGUCACUAUAAACAUAGGGUGUCACUACAACAUAGCGUCACCUUAUCCACUGACACCAUAGAGGGUAUCAAUUGGUGACGUAUUUGGAAGCGACACCAAAGCAGAUAAAUGGUGACACAUUCAGAAGAGACACCAUAUAUUUUUAGUGAUGCUUAAUUUGAUAUAGAGUUGUAUGAGAUAUAUAAGGUGUCAUAUUAAAUGCAUCAUCUUUGAGUUAUGGUGUCACGUUAAAUGUAUCACCUUUAAUUUAUGGUGUCACAUCAUUGUAAAUGAUUAUGGAAGAUAUGGUUGUUUUUUGUUGAUUAGUUUGUAGAUUUUUGUAAUGCUUAUUAAUAAAUAAGACUAACAUGUGUAAAUUGUCCAUAAAUAUAAUAAUCAUAUUACAUUUAACUUAUAUUUUCAUAAUGCUUAUGAAUUAAUUUGUAACAUAUUACAUCAUCCAAUAAUAUUUGUAUAUCAAAUGUUCACAAAAUGAUAGUACAUCAAACACAUCAAACCCACCAAAACUAAAAAAGAAAAGUAAAUACACAUUAAAACAUGAUUUAGAAAUGUUAAGCUUCCCAACAUUCAUGUAUAUAUACUUGCAUUUCAUAUGCAUAAAACCGGUUAACCAUAAAAUGACACAAGAGUUGCAUCCAAAAACCCAAAAUUCUCAAUUCCAAAUAAAGUAACAUUUAUGUCCUAUAAUGUAUGACAUAAGAGUCAUAUCUAAAAACCUAAAUCUUGUUGCCUCUUUCUCCUUUCUUUUUAUUCUUCAUAUUGUCCUCCCAAGAGUGUAUACCUGUAUUUCAUAGUUUAAUGAGUUUUAGAGUUCUUAUUGAAAAUAAAAAUGUGAUGUUAUAAACAAUAAACAAAUCUAAGUACUAAUGUUUUCUUUUUCUUUUUCCUUUUUCUCAUUUUGGUAUAAAAAUAGUUCAUAAAGAAUAAGUAAUGUUAUACAAUAUCAAUGGAAAAUUCAAUCAUAUAACAACUAAGGGACUUACCAUGAAUGAUCACGAUACAUCAAUAUGAUUCAUGAUUAGUUAUAACACAAAAUUAAUCUAUUUUUCUCUAAUUUCAUCAAAUUCUACUUGAGAAUAUGUUUUAUUUGUCAUCAAACUGAAAUCAAAUGAGAAUAACAUUAAUAUCACAAUAAUUGAAAGUAUAAAAUUAUGUACAAUUCAUUAAACGAGUAAAACCUUUGAUGCAAUAACUGUAAAAUCAACAAUUAUUUCUUUAAUGAAUCUCAUAACAAAGUAGUCAUAUUUGAACUCAGUAUUAUUUUUUUACUAUUAAAUUAUUUUUAAACAAAAUAACAAUUAUUAAUAUAUUGGUUCAUUUUUAAAUACUUUCAUAAGAAUAUAUUUUAACUACAAGUUAUUUUAAUUUAUCAAAAGAUUUUUAGGAAAUGAGCUAUUAUCCAUUUAUUAUUUUCUUAUUUUUCAAAAAAUAUUUUCAGUCAUUUUAUACAUGUUUUCAACUACUAAAAUUAUUGUUUUUGUAGAAUAAACAAAGAAGCAUACACUUCUCCUCCACUCACUAAGUCAACUAUUACAAUCACCAUAAUAUUUUAUUCACUUACCAAUAUCUCAUUCCAUUUAGAUAACUCUCUCAACAAAAUCAUUUCUACAAUACUUUUUACUCUCCUAUGAUAUUGAAUAUUUUAUUCCAUUUAGGUGACUCUCAACACAAAGAAAAGUAGGAAUGUCUUCUUAGGUUAACUAAACAAAAACUUUUUUUUUUACUUUACAAUAUGUAUGAAAAAAACAAUUAUUUAUUACAAGGAAUGUGGUACAAAGGUCAUUUCAUUUUUAAAGAAUUUUUUAGAAUUUCUUAAACAUUUACAAAAAAUAGAAUCUAACAAUUUUAUUUCUAAAAAAAUUGAUCAAUUCAAAAAAGAAAGAAGAAUGUUAUUUUUUAAGAAAAGUUAAUAAACCAUUUUAUUCUUGAAUUAUCUAAACAAAACUUACUAAAAAAUAUUUUAUCCCAAAUUUAUUUUCAAAACUUUCUUAUUGAAAACUAUCUCAUAUAUAAAUUAUUUUAUUAUAUAGAGAAAUUCUUAUUUUAUUCUUUUUUUAGAGAAAAAUUCACUUGUUUAUUAAAUAUCAAAGAAGUCUAUUUUUAUGUCUAUUACAUAUAUAUAUAUAUAUAUAUAUAUAUAUAUAUAUAUAUAUAUAUAUAUAUAUAUAUAUAUAAAUUCUCUUAUUUUCAUACAAGAAAUUUCCAUUUAUGCCUAAAAUACUUUUAGAAAAAUCAUUGCCAACAAAAUUUUAUUUUUAAAAUUAUUUUCAACAUUCUUAUUUAAAAAAAUUAUCAUUGGAUUAUUUUCAAAAAGGACAGUCCUAAAAAAAUUAACCAUUUAUAACCCAAUUUAAACUCAAAACUUAUCCCCAAUAUUAUUUUAUAUUCCUAAAUUAUUUUCAAACAAAAUAACAAUUAUUAAUAUUUUGAUUCAUUUUUAAAUACUUUCACAAAAAUAUAUUUUAACCACAUAUUAUUUUAAUUUAUCAAAAUAUUUUUAGGAAAUGAGUUAUUUUCCAUUUAUUACUAUCCUAUUUUUCAAAACAUAUUUUCAAGCAUUUCAUUCACAUUUUAAAAUUUCAAAUACUAAAAUUAUUGUUUUUAUAAAACAACAAAGCAUGUAAAUUUCAACUACUAAAAUUAUUGUUUUUAUAGAAUAAACAAAGCAACAUACACUUAUCUUCCAUUUACUAAUUCAACUAUUACAAUCACCCCAAUAUUUUGUUCACCUACCAAUAAUUCAUUCCAUGUAGGUGACUCUAAAAAAAAAAGUCAUAUUUAUAAUACCCUUUACGACUCUAAUACCCAAUAUUCUAUUCUAUUUAGGUGACUCAAUACAAAGAAAGUGGGAAUGUUUUCUUAGGUUAACCGAAGAAAACCCUAAAUAGCUUAAGUGCUUUUGGAUUAAUUGAGUAUCAUCUUGUAGUAGAUGUCAAUCUCUAUUGUUAGACUUCACCAAAAAGCUCCUAGCACGGUGGAAAAAAGUAUCAAAUAUAGUCAAGUCUUCAAUAAAAUACUAUUUCAUGCGAAAAAUUACUACAAACUAGUGUAUCUCUCAUUCUCAAUUAGACAAAAUUUUUAAAAAUAAUUCAUUUUUCUUGUUUUCAUUUGUUUUAGGGCUUAUUAGCAAUGAAACAAAAAAUAUGUUAGAAUGUUAAACCUAGUUUUCACUUCCCUGGAACUCGAUAAAAAACACCAUUUACAAAACCCACAUCAUAGAUAUACUAAAUCAAGAGAUAUAAAACAAUUAUACUAACAAAGUUUUUUGCAUUAAUAAAAAAAAUGAAGAUGGUAGAUAAGAGAUUUUGACUUACCCGAGAUUUUACGAAGCAAAGAAUAUCAAUUAUGGGUGUGCCGACCAUGGGUGUGAGAAGAAGGAGAAGAAAACGAUGGUUAGGGUUAAGCAAUAAGAUCUUUUAUAUUAGUUAAUGUAUAUAUGGAAACAAUGGACUUUUCAUAAAUUGUUCCUACUCACUAUUUUUAAAAAGGGCCCAUUAAGUUAUAAAAUUUAAAACUUUUUAUUUCAUAUGGUGUCACUUCCAAAAAAUGACACCGUAAAUCUGAAAUUAGCAUCAUCUAACUAUCCUAAUUGAAGAUUUUUUAUAUGAUGUGUCACCUUUAUAAAUUUUAAGUUCAAUGGUGUCAUUAUUUUAAAUGCGACACCAUAAAUAGUGACAUCAUAUAUUAUUUUUGUAGUAGUGCUCGACCAUGAAAUGGUUAAAAUUAACUUUCAAUAAUCCUAUAAUUCUUUCUUUAUUUUAAAAUAAAUGAUAGGUGAUCAAUUGUAUUGUUUGGUAUUGUACGGAGUGCUUUUGUGUAAUUUUUUUCUUAAAAGAAUUUUCUUAGUCUAAAUCAGACUCUAAAAGGAAGUUGUGGCAAGAGAUGAAAGCUGAAACUAGGAUUUGAAAGCUAGGAUUGCUAAACCUGUGCCUCUACCUUUUAAGAGAAUCCGACCUCAUGGAACAAAAAAUGUUGCAUGUAUAUGUUGGACUUCGGGUCAUGUUUAACCCAAUUGGAGCGCCAAUAGUGGGUUAAGCCCCAAGUUGAUUGAUAAAUAUUACAUUGAGAUUCUGGUCUUAUCUAAUAAUUUAAGAUAAAAAAGCACAUAUCCUAAUCGACUCGAGUUAAGGAGAUUUUAGGAGAGUCCUUAAAUAAGGGCCUCGACUAAAAAUCACAUAUCUCUUUUUUCAAUACGAAUGUGAAAAAGUCUCUCCUCUCUUUACAUUUCUCUCAUACUCUCUGGAAAGACAAAUUCUCAUAACAUUUUUGAGUUGUGGAUAUUUUUGGUUAUUCGAGUAAUAUUUGAUAGAUGAUGUUAGAGAACAUUAGUUCAAUUGUGCGUUACAAUUGUUGCAUCUAUUGAUUAGUUAGGAUGUAGCUUAGUUAGUUCUUCUUUUGUUACAACAAAUUUCUCAAAUAGUUAUAGACUACUUACUACUUAAAAAUCAUGUGUGUAUGUGGAAUGAAGACAAAUGAUAAAUCUAGAAGGGAUUGAUAAUCCUCUUCUUCCCAUUCUAUUAUAUUUUCUUUCAUUCCAACAUGGUAUUAGAGUAGUACACAUCCACUAUAGGAGACACCUCAAGAACCAACAGAUUUAGCCCUAUCUCCUUCCCCCACCUAAUCUCAUCCAAACUAGACAACAACCUUUUGGUUUGGAGAAAACAAAUACUAACCACAUUAAAAGGACACAAGCUGCAACACUUUCCCUUCGAGUCCUCAUGCUUACCAUUAAGAUUUCUAUCAAUCUGAGGAUGAUGAAGCCCACUAUCACAUAAACCUUGAGUUUCAAAACUAGGAAACAAUAAGAUUAGCUCAUCAUGUCAUGGAUACUUGCAUCCACACGUGUUUAGUGAGUUGUGACACUUCAACCUAGGUAUGAAAGAUUAUUAAUUUAUAUUUUGCUACUCAAGUAUGUUGAGGCAUUGCGUCCCUGGCGAUCCACGUAGUUGCCAAAUGGAUGGACGCACUAUCUCAACCAAUAUAGAUUCCUGGUUCAAUCGUUCCUGCAAAAGGCGUCCGGACAAGGUGUCCGGACACACCUUCCGAUGGUUUUGUCAGCCAUGGUUAGAGAGAAUAAUCAGUUGGUCUUUUACUAGGUAUAACAAGCUUACCUUCCUUUUUGUGUGAAGGUCUAUAUAUAUAGUGUUUAGGAGCUUUGUUUAUCUCUUUAAUGGUAGGGAGAUAUUUUGGUUUGUCAUGAUGCCUCUAAGUGGUGGCAGAGCCAUCAUCACCCUACGGGCGGCUGACAGAGAUCGUGGGAGGCACCGCGGUUGUCAGAGAUCAUUGGAGGUGACUUGCCAUCAUUUCAUUCCUGUCCUUUCACUCUAUAGGUGGCGGAACGUGGGCCGUGGCAGGCUGUUGGAAUGACGUGCAAGACCUGCUUACUUCAGUCAAUGAUCCGGACAAAACAUAUCUAGAUAGGAUAUGUCGGUCGUCCGGAUGUGAUAUGGCGGUCGUCCGGAUGUGAUGUUUUGCGAGUGUCGUGUGCUUCUUCCUGAGGGUGUCCGGAUAGGGAAAGCGCGCCACGUGUCCUCUUAGGGAAAUCCGGAUGGGGAUAAUCCGCAUAGAAAUGUGUGCCACGUGCCACCAGGAAAUGUGUACCACGUGUCAUUAGGGGGAGGGGUCCCUACAAAGUACAUGCCGUAGUAAUUCAAUUCAAGACUCAAUCGCAAACACAAAGAAAUGAGAUCUACUUGUAAAUGAGCUCCAUAAACUAUGCUAUCAUGGUAUAUGAGCUCAAAAUGAGGACCACUAGGACCCAUAGGAGUAUUAACUACUUUAGAAUUCAAUUUUGAAGUUGAUUUAGGAUUCUAUUAAAGAGAAUUAACUACACUCUAAUAUCUUAUGUAAAUAACAAAAAGACAAAGUUUGAGUUGGUGACCUACUAUCCAUUGCAUGCAGAUUUCCUAUGAAUUGAUGCCCAUAAUCUAAUAAGACAAUGUUAUCGCCUAUCAAGAUUACCUCUCCAAUUCAUGAGUUACAAAUCCCACUUAUUAUGUGAUCAAUUGACAUAUUCCAACUCCAAGGAGCAUAUGUCAAAAUUCUACCAAAGAAAAUGUUAUGACCAUAGUUUUUUAAAUCACAUGUUUUUUUGGAUCACCCAAUGGGACACAUUGUCUCAAUCCAUGAGAUAUCAUGGUGUUUUUAUUGAGAAUACUAAUUGUUAUUAGCCUCCGUCAAUAGUGACCUAAUCCAUAGGGAUAUAUGACCACUUUAGGGUCUUACUUACAAGUUAAAACCUCCUAUUGACUUUGACACAGACUCAAUAUUCUUUUCAAGUUGAGAGUCCAUGUGGUAUAGUAACUUGAUGAAUCAUAAUAAUUGAUAGUCUUACGUCAUGAUUCAUUGUAGGUCAUGUCUAGUGUGUAUUACAUAUAUUAGUGCACUCACUAUGGGAAAACUAGCUUAAUAGCCAAAAUAAGUCAUUCUUCUAAUUAAGAGGUAGUGUACUACAAUCUCAGAUGGAUUGCUCAAAUCCAUGAACCAACUAUGACCAACUCAUCACUCUAUACGGAACCUAUGACUUGGAUUCUCUAUGCAAUUCCUAAUGCACUUAAGUCAUAUACAAUGUAAGUGAUGUGAGACAUGUAUGCUCAAAUAACCAAUUAAUGCAAAUGAGAUAAUAAAAAGAAACCAAACAACAUAAAUAAAUAAAUUUAUAAAUGAAUUUUUAUCUAUUACAUCAUGUCAUGUUUUCUAGGGUUCAAUCCUAGCAUUACCAUAUCUACCAUACCACAUUCGAUCAUUGAAGUAUUUAGUCUUAGUCAUUGGAAAUAAGCCAUGCCUGAUGAAUAUUUAGCACUUUUAUGCAACAAUAAUUGAAACCUUGUUCCACUUCCUCCUAAUCACAAACCCAUUGGCUGCAAAUGGGUUGUCAAAAUUAAAGAAAAUCUUGAUGGCACCAUUAAAAAAUACAAAGCCCAACUAGUUGCCAAAGGAUUUCAUCAAAUUGCUGACUUUGAUUUCAAUGAGACAUUUAGUCCAGUUGUAAAACCAACUACCAUCCAAAUUGUUCUUGCCAUUACUUGAGGUAUGUAUCAAAAAGUUCGCCAACUUCAUGUUAAUAAUGUUUUUCUCAAUGGUGACCUUUAAGAAGAAGUUUACAUGUGUCAACCAAUUGGUUUUGUUGAUCCUAAUGCUCCUGACUUUGUGUGCAAACUCACAAAGUUCCUUUAUGGUCUUAAACAAGCUCCUAGGGCUUGGUUUGAGAAGCUUUGCCAAGCUCUUAUUCAUCUUGGUUUUACAUCAACAAAAUUUGAUACAUAUUUGUUUAUUAAUAUUACUUUACAAGAGUACUUUACCUACAUCCUUAUAUAUGUGGAUGACUUUUUACUAACUAAUAACAAUGAGACAUUCCUUUAACAAGUGAUCACUCAAUUCAACCACACUUUUAUCUCAAGGAUCUUGGGGAAGUUAAUUACUUUCUGAGCAUCCAAGCCAAAGCCUCUCUUGUUGGGUUACAUCUAUUUCAAACUAAGUAUGUCUUAAACAUCUACAAAGAACCAAUAUGCUUCAUGCCAAACUGGUUCCCAUACUAUUGGUCCCUAAUUAGCAUUUGUCCGCAUCUAGUACUAAUCAUUUUUUCAACCCUCAGCUCUAUUGAAUCACUAUUGGUGCUCUUCAAUAUGUCACUAUUACUUGCCCAGAGACACAAAUAGUGUUAAUUGUGUAUGUUAAUUUAUGAAAGUUCCUCUCAUUGCUCAUUGGAAAGCUAGAAAACAAAUACUUCACUACUUAGUUGGAACUUUUUACCAUAGACUACAUCUCCAACGAAGCUUCACCUUAUACCUUAAAUUACAUGCUUUGGUGAUGUUUGAUUACUACUCAAAAAGUGCUAUUUGAUAGCCUUUAAUUAAUCCUUUUUAACACUUUUGAGUAGUAGUUUAGGCCUUUUAACUCAAUUGACAUGUUAAGGAUCCUUUAAAGCAAUUUUGAUCACUUUGUGCAAGUUUUGGUGUUUUUGUUAGUAUUGUGAUCACCAAAGCAAGUCAAGAAUGAGGAGAGAUAUGAGGAAUCUUGGGCAAAUCUUAGAAUUCAAUUGCCAAGAGUGAAUCCGGAUUGCAAGGAGAAAAAGCAAAGAGAAUCUGUCAUGGAGCAUAUUCUUGAUGACAGUCGUAGCAGCCACUUUUGGGGCACUUCCUGAAGUCCAAAUGAUGCAAGCUAUAUACCAUUUCAAAGCUCAGGAAGUCAAAAAUCCAAUGCUUCAAACGGUGCGCGAUUUGGAGUUGAAACGAAGAAGUUGCAGCCAUUACAAGCCAGUCACUCUGAAGUGUUGCGGAAUCAGCCUUUUGUUGCGAGAAUUUCGCAACACUUUUGUACAGUAAGGUGUUUCUCCUUCUGACGAUGCACGAACCAUGCCGCGAGAAGGGAGCUGGAAACUUCAAGGUGGAAGCCAACUUCGCAGCCCUAUGAAGACAGCUUGGUCUUGCGAAAUAAUUUCGCAGCCCUCUUGGGUGUCUGCGAAAUUUCGCAGGCACCACUUUUCUCCUGCGAAAUGGCUCCUGAAGCCUCCCGAAGCUUGCUACCGACAUUGGGAGAUAUUUUCCAUUAGAUUUUUGUUGUCUAAAUCCCAAAAUACUCCUUGUAAACCACCAAUUACAUGAUUCCUUAGUUUUUAAGUUAGUAAAAAGACCAAAUAUCUAUGUAACAAUUAGUUUUAUAUUGGUUUGAUAUAAAUACCUCUCGGGAGCCUGUUCUCGGGGAGGAGUUCUUUCGGUAACCAUUUGGUAAGCAAGUAAAGUCUUUUCUUUCUACUGCCUUACAUUCUCACUUUGUAUUUUCAUUUUAUUUCUAAGUUAUGAAUUCUCUGAGGAGUUUUCCCCAGAGAAUGAGUAACUAAACCUCCAAUUCCUUGGAGCUAAGGUUGCCGGGGAAGGUUCCAAGUGCAAGAAUGCAAAGCUCUGUGGUUUUAGCUAGUAAUGAAGAGGAAGUGAAAUCCUUUAGUGAUUUCAAUGUUUUUAGUUAACUUAAAACACCUUGGAGUCACCUAGGCCAACACUUGGUAAGGCAAGUGAUUUCCAACCGUGGAAAUGCACUAGUUUACCCCUUGCGAGCCUCUGGUAGGUGACUUCAAGGUAGGAUUUUCUGGAAUUACCAACACUUGGUAAGCUUUUGGACUCUUAGGAGGCAUCCAUUAGUUAUCUCUUGCGAGUUUGUGAAGGGAAGUCCAAGGUUAAAGAUCACCUUGAAUGGUAAGUGCUCGUGAGAGGCAUGAACCAUUGCAAGUUGCAUCAGUGAGAGAAUUAAAGUGAAAUCUAAUUGAAGGAGUCUCUGUACAUCACCGGUUAGAGACUUGACUCUAAGUUGAAUCUCUAAUGCGAGGAAAUGAACCAUCUGACCGGAGCUAUGUCUUUUGCAUGAGGAACCACCCCAGUGAACCUAAAUCUCCAAGGAAUGCUUUUCUUCCUAAAUUAUUCCAAACUUCUGUUAAGUUAGUUAGUUUAAAUCUCAACCUUUACCAAUCAAAGUUUGUAUUUUAUUUCUUAAACUAACCGUGAAAUGAAACAAAACCAAUUCACUUGGAAUUGGUAUCCUUGAUUGCUUGCAAAUCAUUCCCAGUGAACGAUCCUUAGAGCCACUAUACUAUAGUAGCUUUGUAUUUGCUACCCUAGUGUAUGGUGUUAUAGGUAUAAAUUUUGUUGAUCACUUCCUCAAUCAAGGAGCACCAGCUGAACACAAAUCAGCUGAGACACCAAUUGGGCAUGAGUCAAAUGGCGCCGUUGCCGGGGAAUGAGUGUCAAGUUCAUUGUGAUACCAUUUUUGAGCACUUGUGAUUUUCAUCACAAGUUGGUAAAGUUUCUUUCACUUUACUAAUUUUCAUUCUCUCUUUGUUUAUUUACAAUCUAAGUUUAUCUUUUUAAAAUUUAGUCUAGUUUAAUUUUGUUGUUGUAGCCCUGUUUUUCUUGUUGUCCUCUGUUUUUAUUUAAGUUGUAGCUGAAUACUAGUUGUGUAUGCCCAAGUGGAUACGAGACAGUGGAGGAAGGCUUGUUAAGUGUGAUACACCUCAGAAAGGAGAAUUUGAAGUAAUCUUGAAUAUCAUGGAGGCUGCACCUGAAGAUCAGCAUAGUCACCAAGGUCGUCAAGACAAUCUCAAUGAAUUCAGAUCAAUGAGGGACCGUAUGCAUCCACCUCGUAUGAGUGCACCAUCAUGUAUAGUGCCCCCUACAGAGCAGCUAGUGAUCAGACCAUAUCUUGUUCCACUUCUACCAACUUUCCAUGGGAUGGAAAGUGAGAAUCCGUAUGCACACAUCAAGGAAUUUGAAGAUGUUUGUAAUACAUUCCAAGAGGGAGGAGCUUCAAUUGACUUGAUGAGGCUUAAGUUAUUUCCUUUUACUUUAAAGGAUAAGGCCAAAAUUUGGCUUAAUUCUUUAAGGCCUAGGAGUAUCCGCUCUUGGACUGAUUUACAAGCUGAGUUCCUCAAGAAAUUUUUUCCUACUCAUAGAACAAAUGGCUUGAAAAGGCAAAUUUCAAACUUCUCAGCUAAAGAGAAUGAGAAAUUCUAUGAGUGUUGGGAAAGAUACAUGGAAGCUAUAAAUGCUUGUCCUCACCAUGGCUUUGAUACUUGGCUACUGGUGAGUUAUUUUUAUGAUGGUAUGUCCUCCUCAAUGAAGCAACUCCUCGAGACAAUGUGUGGAGGAGAUUUCAUGAGCAAAAAUCCAGAGGAAGCUAUGGAUUUCUUGAGCUAUGUAGCUGAUGUUUCAAGGGGAUGGGAUGAACCAACUAAAGGAGAAGUGGGAAAGAUGAAGUCUCAGUUGAAUGCUUAUAAUGCAAAAGCUGGGAUGUAUAAUUUGAAAGAAGAUGAUGACAUGAAAGCAAAGUUGGCAGCUAUGACAAGAAGAUUGGAGGAGCUGGAGCUGAAAAGAAUGCAUGAAGUGCAAGCUGUUGCUGAAGCACCAGUGCAAGUGAAGCUGUGUCCCAAUUGUCAAUCAUUUGAACAUUUGGUGGAGGAGUGCCCUGCAAUUUCAGCUGAAAGGGAAAUGUAUAGAGAUCAAGCAAAUGUUGUUGGACAAUUCAGGCCCAAUAACAAUGCUCUUUAUGGAAAUACCUACAAUUCAAGUUGGAGGAAUCAUCCAAAUUUCUCAUGGAAGGCCAGAGCAACUCAAUACCAACAGCCGGAUCCACCAUCUCAGCAAUCUUCAAGUAUUGAACAAAUAAUAGCUAAUCUCAGCAAGGUAGUGGGAGAUUUUGUGGGAAAGCAAGAAGCCACCAAUGCUCGAGUGGAUCAAAGAAUGGACAGAGUGGAUCAAAGAAUGGACAGAAUGGAGAGUAUGUUGAACAAAAGAAUGGAUGGAAUGCAAAAUGAUAUGAAUCAAAAAUUUGAUAACAUCCAAUAUUCAAUCUCCAGGCUUACAAAUUUGAAUACACUGCAAGAAAAGGGAAGAUUUCCUUCUCAACCUAACCAAAAUCCCAAAGGUGUCCAUGAAGUGGAAAGCCUUGAGGGAGAAUCAUCACAGGUGAAAGAUGUGAAGGCUUUGAUCACUCUAAGGAGUGGUAAGAAAAUUGAGCAGCCAACACCUAAGCCACAUGUUGAGAAAGAAGAAGAGAUAAAGAAAUGGAAGGAAAUGGAAGAUAAAGAGAGUGAGAUCAGUGAAGAAAAGAAGGAAUCUGAUUCAACAAUCAAAGCAAUUCCAGAGAAAGAGCUUCUGAAGGAAGAAAUGCUGAAGAAAUCAACUUCUCCACCUUUUCCUCAAGCAUUACAUGGGAAAAAGGGGGUUAGAAAUGCAGCUGAAAUCCUAGAAGUAUUGAGGCAAGUGAAAGUUAAUAUUCCACUGCUGGAUAUGAUCAAACAAGUUCCAACGUAUGCAAAAUUCCUAAAGGACUUGUGUACUAUCAAAAGAGGGUUGACUGUAAACAAGAAAGCCUUCUUGACUGAGCAAGUAAGUGCAAUCUUACAGUGUAAGUCUCCUUUGAAGUACAAAGACCCUGGAAGUCCUACCAUUUCAGUCAUGAUUGGAGGAAAGGUAGUGGAGAAAGCCUUGCUAGACUUGGGAGCAAGUGUGAAUUUGCUUCCAUACUCUGUCUACAAGCAACUAGGACUUGGAGAGUUGAAGCCAACAGCAAUCACUUUAUCUUUGGCAGAUAGAUCAGUGAAAAUUCCAAGAGGAGUAAUUGAGGAUGUAUUGGUUCAAGUAGAUAAUUUCUACUAUCCUGUAGAUUUUGUUGUUCUUGAUACUGAUCCAACUGUAAAGGAAGCUAAUUUAGUUCCUAUCAUCCUUGGAAGGCCAUUUCUUGCAACUUCAAAUGCAAUCAUCAACUGUAGAAAUGGGCUUAUGCAACUCACUUUUGGUAAUAUGACCCUGGAUCUCAAUAUUUUCUAUAUGUCUAAAAAGCAAAUCACUCCAGAAGAAGAAGAAGGACCAGAAGAGUUAUGUAUAAUUGAUACUUUGGUGGAGGAGCACUGCAAUCAGCAUAUGCAAGACAAGUUGAGUGAAAGUCUUGUGGAUAUUGAGGAAGGUUUUUCUGAAUCUCCUAUUGGGCUUGCUACUCUACAAAGUUGGAGAAAGAUAGAAGGAAUUCUACCUCUGUUCAAUGAAGAAGAUGAGGCAGCUGUUGAAAAAGAAAUUCCAAAACUCAAUCUGAAGCCUUUACCUGUGGAGCUGAAAUAUACAUAUCUUGAAGAAAAUAAUCAAUGUCCUGUCGUAAUCUCUUCAUCUCAAACCAAGUCUCAAGUGAAGGAUGCAAGCUUCAAAUGGGAUCCGGGCAAACUGAAUCAGGAAGGGCAAAAAGUUCUGAUGUAUGACACAAGACUCCAUAUCUUUCCUGGGAAGCUCAAGUCAAGGUGGAUUGGUCCAUUUGUUAUUCACCGAGUAUAUUCCAAUGGAGUGGUGGACUUAUUGAAUUCCAAUGGCAAGGACAGCUUUAGAGUCAAUGGAUAUCGUCUUAAGCCGUUCAUGGAGUCAUUCAAAUCAGAAAAGGAGGCAAUCAACCUCCUUGAACCUCAAAAAGCUUAAGUGAAAAGGGUUUGCUGGGCGUGGUUUUACCACAGUCCAAAAUUUUUGUAAAUUUUGUAAAUUUUCAAGUUGUUUCCAUACUUUUGAUCUUAGUUUUUGAUUUUAAAUCAUGUUUUUAGGUGUGUUUUAAUCGUUUUAUAUGAUCCCAGGCGGAAGAAAUUUCAAGGGGAUUGAAAAGAAAAAAAUCGGGUCGAAAUUGGAGCCGAAACAGAGCAAAAACAGGGGAAAAACAGAGCUCUGCGAAAUUUCGCAGGGUGAAGGAAACUUCUGCGAAAUUGGCAUUUUGCUGCCAACCCAUUCCGCAGCACUAUAGAAGCCUCUGCGAGUGUGUUUCGCAAUUGCGAAAGUGGAUUUGGCACACGAGUGCCACUUCGCAGCACAGUGACAUCAAUUUCGCAGCUGCGAAACGCGUUGCGAAAUGAAAAAGCGUGAUUUCGCACCAAAAGUCCUAUUCCGCAGAGUAUUUCGCAAUUGCGAAAGUGGUUUUGGCACACGAGUGCCACUUCGCAGCACAGUGACAUCAAUUUCGCAGCUGCGAAACUCACUGCGAAGUUGCUGCGAAAAUGGCAAGUUGCUGCGAAAUUGGCGUUUUGUUGCGGAACUUAAACUGACCCCUGGGCUUCCGUUUUUCCUAUUUAUACCGGUCAAAAAUGCUGCGAAAAGGGUUUCAAAAAUCAGAGAGCCAUUCUCGCAGCCCCUUCAUCUUCUUCGCCAAGCCACGCCGUCCGAACCUCCGGUCGUCUUCUCCGCUUAGCAACGCCGGCCAAAGAUCGAUAUCUCCAAAAUGGCACGAACGCGAGGAGCAAAAUCUUCAUCUCCUUCGAACCGCAAAAGGAGUCUGCGAAAGGAGCCAAGUCCAGGCUCUGUUCCAGAACCUGCUCCCCAGCCUUCGCCGUCGAGACCACAACCUUCUCCAGUGAAGCCGGCGCCACCAAAGCCGCCGGCAAGACGAUAUUUGACAAGAUCAGGCGGUCAGCCAUUGAAGAAGAAGCCCAGGGUUGAGAGCUCUGAACCAAUUGAUUUGACUGAGCAAUCCCCUGAGCAGUCCCCAAAUCCUUCACCGGUUCAAACUCCAGUGCCGUCACCGGUUCCCUCGCCAAUUCCCUCACCUGAAGCAACUCCAAUUUCAUCGCCGGUACCAUCUCCGGCACCCCAAGAAAAAGCUCAGGAGCCUCCAGCGCCAAUUCCAGAGCCCCAAAUUGCAGCUGAAGCACCUCUGGAAGAAGUGAUCCGAAGGCCAUUGCUCCCCCAGCCCCCAAUCGAAGGAAACUUGGAUUGUCGAACACGGGCAUUCCAUUCUGAAUUGAGCUUCGACUUAGCAGCAUUCAGAGUGAGGCCAGAGCUUGCCCAAUCCUUCCAGCUGCUGAGGAGAUAUCAUAUGGAGCAUCUGCUAGCUCCAAGGGAUUUUUUCUAUCCCCGGGUAGUCACGGACUUCUACCAGACCAUGACAACCAAAGAAGUAAGAAAUCCAACUCUGAUCCAUUUCAUAAUUGAUGGAAGGCAUGGUAUUUUGGGAGCAAGACACAUUGCUGAAGCUCUGCAAAUUCCUUUUGAGCCAACCCAAUUCGACAAUUUUAAAGCUUGGACAAAUCCAACUGAGUUAGAGAUGGUUCGCACACUAACCAGGGGAGCUGCAAAUCGGUCACACCUGUUGAGGGGGGAGCUACCUCCAGUGAUGUUUUUGAUUGAUGCCUUUUUGAGGCAUAAUAUCUAUCCCCUGCAGCAUUGGACCCAAAGAAGGGGAGUUCUCUUGGAAGCUCUAUACAAGAUGUCUGAAGGAUUCUUCUUUGGGCCUCAUCAUCUGAUCAUGGCAGCCCUUCUAUACUUUGAGGAAAAGGUUCACAAGAAGAAGCUUCAAAGAGCAGAUUGCAUUCCACUCCUCUUCCCACGGCUGCUAUGCCAAGUUUUGGAGCAUCUCGGAUACCCCUCUGAGCCUCAGUAGGAAAGAAAGAAAAUAUGCCGUGAGCCAUUUACCCUUGAUAAAUGGAAUAAUAUGACGGCCUACAAAAUUGAUCAGCCUGGGCAGCCUCAGCCAGCAGCAAGGAGAGCCUCCCCAAGACAUCCACCUGAAGGUAUUACACUUGCUACUCCUGCCAUCCCUCGAGCUUCACCAGCUGCACCUGCUCCAUCACAGCCAUCCACAUCAGCUGAGCCGAGGAUGGCCAUCCCUAUAUCCGAAUAUCGAGAGCUGUGCCGUGCAUUGGAGACUCUUACAGCUUCCCAGAGCAAUNNNNNNNNNNNNNNNNNNNNNNNNNNNNNNNNNNNNNNNNNNNNNNNNNNNNNNNNNNNNNNNNNNNNNNNNNNNNNNNNNNNNNNNNNNNNNNNNNNNNACCUAAAGGUAUUACACUUGCUACUCCUGCCAUCCCUCGAGCUUCACCAGCUGCACCUGCUCCAUCACAGCCAUCCACAUCAGCUGAGCCGAGGAUGGCCAUCCCUAUAUCCGAAUAUCGAGAGCUGUGCCGUGCAUUGGAGACUCUUACAGCUUCCCAGAGCAAUCUUGCUCAGGAGUUGGCAGCCAUCAAAGCAUGCCAGGAGCAGAUGUUAGCCUCUCAGGCUCAACAAGCUGCCAUCCUAAGGCAGCUUCAAGUCCAUUUCGAUCUGCCACAAGCUGUAGAGCCUUCCACUGAGACUCCACCAGAGCCACACUCUCAGCCUUCAGAGUCUCAAGCUCCAGAGCCCGAAGCCUCAGCUGAUCCACCUACUGGAGAGGCAGAUCCUUCUGCCUAGCACUAUCACCCCACUUAUCAGACAUUAUAUAUAUUUGCUGUUUAUGUUUUUAUGCAUGUUUGUUUUGUUUUAGUUGAAAUGAAAUCCCAGUAUUUUGGUAUAUAUAUGGGAUUCCUUGUGUUACUUGUCUUUAGCAUUGUAAUCAAAUGAACUCAAAGUAAUACAAGUUGAAUAUUUCUUGUUAAAAAUUAGCAUUAAGUUCUCCUUAUUUCCUUUUCUCACAUAUUCUAUUCUUUUUGAAACAUAUGGUUUUCCCCAAUCAAUAUUCGAAUUUGAUAGCAGCAUGGAGGUACCACUUCCUCCUUUUUAUUACAGUCACUCAAAUCACAUUGAGGACAAUGCUCAGUUCGGUUGGGGGGUAUGAGGAAGGAAGUAUUCUAAACCUUUUUGGUAUUGCAAUUAUAUUGGUUAAUUAGUUGUAGUUUUUACUUUUUACUCUAGUGUUACUCUAUUCUCCAUGAAUUUUGAGGAAAAAUUUUCAAAUUAAACCAAGAGAAAUUGAAAUGUUGUUUUUCACUUGACUUAGAGUAUGGAUUAUGCUUACUAAAGUAGUUCAAUUGUUGAAACUUCUACUGAAAUUGAAUUGAGUUCUUCUACUUUAAGCUAUCCACACACUGUGCACAUUAGUUUCCGAUUAUAACAUGAAAAGCUAUUUCCCUCUUGACUUAGUAUAAUUUUGAAACUUGGUAUAUUUGACCUCAUUUGAUAAAAAUUGAAACACCCUGCAAAAGGCCAAUGAGCCUUUGAAAUAAAGAAAGUUGUUUGCUUGCCUUGAAACCCGAGCAAGGUCUGAGGGGUAUAUGGUGAAAGCCUUUAAAGCCUGGUGCCCUAAGCCUUAAUUGGUUGGGAGUCACCGACCUCAAUGCUCGUUACAAGGGUGAAUAGGUAGAGUUAGCAUAUGGUAGAUGCUUGGGUAUUAGAAAAUUCAUUCUUAAAAGUCCGGGGAAAAAUCCGAGGAGUUAGUGGUUGAAAGAUCCUUAAACUUGGUGCCCUAAACCUUAUUGGGUUGGGAGUCAUCGAUGGACCCCCAUUACAUNNNNNNNNNNNNNNNNNNNNNNNNNNNNNNNNNNNNNNNNNNNNNNNNNNNNNNNNNNNNNNNNNNNNNNNNNNNNNNNNNNNNNNNNNNNNNNNNNNNNGAAACCCUUUAAACCCUGGGGCCCUAAGCCUUUUUUGGUGGGGAGUCCCCGACCCCAAUGCUCUUUACAAGGGGGAAUAGGAAGAGUUAGCAUUUGGUAGAGGUUUGGGUAUUAGAAAAUUCUUUUUUAAAAGUCCGGGGAAAAAUCCGGGGGGUUGGUGGUUGAAAAAUCCUUAAAAAUUGGGGCCCUAAACCUUAAUUGGUUGGGGGUCUUCGGGGGGCCCCCCUUACAUGGGCAAGUUAGAAAGGGUACCCCAUAAAGGUGCCUUUAAAAAAAAAAAAAAAAAAAAAAAAAAAAAAAAAAAAAAAAAAAAAAAAAAAAAGAUGAAAGUGUGUUCUUUUCUUAUUGAUUUUGGUCAGGUUGCUAAAGUGUUGAAAAGAGUUAGGUUGGGGGGUGAGAUUAGUAGCAUAUUAUUCUCGGAACCUAAGGAACCAAUACACAUAGAUUUUUGUGGAAGAUUGAAGUUUAGUUCUUAGAAAGUAGAAAUGAUUUUAAAACUUCAGUUUGCAUAAUGCACUCCCUUGAUUGACAGUGUUUAGCAUAAGUGUUAUGACUCUUGUUGAGAUUUGGG
Molecule: long non-coding RNA, 27451 nt
Filed under: Vitis vinifera (wine grape)
Lineage: Eukaryota; Viridiplantae; Streptophyta; Magnoliopsida; Vitales; Vitaceae
Description: long non-coding RNA (VVIN_LNC004899)
Source: RNAcentral